Molecule: long non-coding RNA, 581 nt
Organism: Danaus plexippus (monarch butterfly)
Lineage: Eukaryota; Metazoa; Arthropoda; Insecta; Lepidoptera; Nymphalidae
Exons: 5
Source: RefSeq, a predicted model, not a curated record
AUCGUCAAUUUGUGAUUAAUCAAUUAAGUUGACAAUCACCUGAAUUAUGUAUAGGAAAUAUCAACAUAAGACCUAAAAUUAAAUAUAAUGCAAACAAUGUAUGGUCGACGUCAGUUGAAUUCCAUUUAAAACCCACAUCAAUGAACUUCUUUAAUACAUGCUAUGAAGACUCGCAGCGGAAGAAAUAAUGAUUUUCAUUUUGUGGUACAUUGCUAUUGCUUACAGCUAUUAUAUGGGAUGGUUACCAAUAGGAGGUAGCGAAUCAGGUGAAACAACUCAAGCAAACCAAUCAAAUGUGACACCGAUAGCACCGACGCCACAAAUGACAGAACCUAAAACCUGACUUUAUUAUGGAAAUGCAUGAAAAAAAAAUGGUUUCAACUUACGUCGUAGGUAUAUCAAGAUUUUAAAACGCUACCCAAGCUAUCCGCGGCCAAAUUGAAUAUGCAUGUGUAGAAACUUCGAAACAGGCCUUCUACUAUGUAUUCAUAAUCUUAAUUUAAAAAGUCUUCAUAAUUUUGAUAAACUACGAAUACAAUAUAGAAGUGAACAUCGUGACUCUUUUAAUAAAAUGAUAUUUU